Molecule: long non-coding RNA, 535 nt
Filed under: Mytilus galloprovincialis (Mediterranean mussel)
Lineage: Eukaryota; Metazoa; Mollusca; Bivalvia; Mytilida; Mytilidae
Source: RNAcentral
GGGGCAGGUCCAAAUAAUCUCCAUGGAAAUGAUAUAUGCUGAUACUUAUACAACUGCAGACCUAUUAUCAUUAACCAACCACUAAUGGUUUCCCAUAAACUGACCUAAUCAAACUAAUACAUAACUAAGCAAAAAUUUAAAAAAAAUCAAUAAACCAUAACUGAGGGGGCGGGGCCAAAUAAUCCCCAUGGUAAUAAGAGGUGCUAAUGCUUAUAAAACUACAUACCAAUCAUCGUUAACCUACCACUAGUGGUUCCCCAUAAACUUACAUAGUCACAAGCUAAUACAUGAAAACUAUUAAAGCAAAAGUUUAAAAGUCAAUAUAAAACCACAACUGAGGGGGCAGGGCCAAAUAAUCUCCAUGGUAAUGAAAUGUGCUAGUGCUAAUACAGCUGUGUACUAAAUAUCUUUGACUCAGUUCACCAUCAACUUACAUAAUCACAAACUAAUACAUUGUUGACGCCGCCGUCAACAGCAUACCUAUGUCUCGCUUUUUGACUCCAUCAACAACAAAAAUAAUGAGGGGAAAUGUAAU